AUACAGAGGGUGCAAGCGUUAAUCGGAAUUACUGGGCGUAAAGCGCGCGUAGGCGGUUUGUUAAGUCGGAUGUGAAAUCCCCGGGCUCAACCUGGGAACUGCAUUCGAAACUGGCAGGCUAGAGUAUGGUAGAGGGAAGUGGAAUUCCGGGUGUAGCGGUGAAAUGCGUAGAUAUCCGGAGGAACAUCAGUGGCGAAGGCGGCUUCCUGGACCAAUACUGACGCUGAGGUGCGAAAGCGUGGGGAGCAAACAGGAUUAGAAACCCCGGUAGUCC
Molecule: ribosomal RNA, 274 nt
Filed under: uncultured bacterium
Lineage: Bacteria
Description: partial 16S ribosomal RNA
Rfam family: Bacterial small subunit ribosomal RNA
Source: RNAcentral